Molecule: ribosomal RNA, 515 nt
Filed under: uncultured bacterium
Lineage: Bacteria
Description: partial 16S ribosomal RNA
Rfam family: Bacterial small subunit ribosomal RNA
Source: RNAcentral
GAUGAACGCUGGCGGCGUGCCUAAUACAUGCAAGUCGAGCGAAUGGAUUGAGAGCUUGCUCUUAUGAAGUUAGCGGCGGACGGGUGAGUAACACGUGGGUAACCUGCCCAUAAGACUGGGAUAACUCCGGGAAACCGGGGCUAAUACCGGAUAACAUUUUGAACCGCAUGGUUCGAAAUUGAAAGGCGGCUUCGGCUGUCACUUAUGGAUGGACCCGCGUCGCAUUAGCUAGUUGGUGAGGUAACGGCUCACCAAGGCAACGAUGCGUAGCCGACCUGAGAGGGUGAUCGGCCACACUGGGACUGAGACACGGCCCAGACUCCCACGGGAGGCAGCAGUAGGGAAUCUUCCGCAAUGGACGAAAGUCUGACGGAGCAACGCCGCGUGAGUGAUGAAGGCUUUCGGGUCGUAAAACUCUGUUGUUAGGGAAGAACAAGUGCUAGUUGAAUAAGCUGGCACCUUGACGGUACCUAACCAGAAAGCCACGGCUAACUACGUGCCAGCAGCCGCCGCAG